GACGAACGCUGGCGGCGUGCUUAACACAUGCAAGUCGAGCGGUAAGGCCCUUUCGGGGGUACGACGAGCGGCGAACGGGUGAGUAACACGUGGGUGACCUGCCCUCAGCCCUGGGAUAAGCCUGGGAAACCGGGUCUAAUACUGGAUAUGACUCCAUGACGCAUGUUGUGGGGUGGAAAGCCUUGUGCGGCUGAGGAUGGGCCCGCGGCCUAUCAGCUUGUUGGUGGGGUGAUGGCCUACCAAGGCGACGACGGGUAGCCGGCCUGAGAGGGCGACCGGCCACACUGGGACUGAGACACGGCCCAGACUCCUACGGGAGGCAGCAGUGGGGAAUCUUGCGCAAUGGGCGAAAGCCUGACGCAGCGACGCCGCGUGAGGGAUGACGGCCUGUGUAACU
Molecule: ribosomal RNA, 397 nt
Filed under: uncultured bacterium
Lineage: Bacteria
Description: bacterial SSU rRNA
Rfam family: Bacterial small subunit ribosomal RNA
Source: RNAcentral